UACGGAGGGUGCAAGCGUUAUCCGGAAUCAUUGGGUUUAAAGGGUCCGCAGGCGGUUCUAUAAGUCAGUGGUGAAAUCUCUCGGCUCAACCGAGAAACUGCCAUUGAUACUGUAGGACUUGAAUUCGGUCGAAGUGGGCGGAAUAUGACAUGUAGCGGUGAAAUGCUUAGAUAUGUCAUAGAACACCGAUAGCGAAGGCAGGUCUCUGGGCAUUAACUGACGCUGAGGAGCGAAAGCAUGGGGAGCGAACAGG
Molecule: ribosomal RNA, 253 nt
Filed under: uncultured bacterium
Lineage: Bacteria
Description: partial 16S ribosomal RNA
Rfam family: Bacterial small subunit ribosomal RNA
Source: RNAcentral